This 371-nucleotide ribosomal RNA is filed under the name uncultured organism. RNAcentral's name for it is "bacterial SSU rRNA". It matches the Rfam family "Bacterial small subunit ribosomal RNA", at positions 526 to 896 of the family's 1533-position model. The record is from RNAcentral.
CGUAGGGUGCGAGCGUUAAUCGGAAUUACUGGGCGUAAAGCGUGCGCAGGCGGUUUGUUAAGAUAGGCGUGAAAUCCCCGGGCUCAACCUGGGAACUGCGCUUAUGACUGGCAAGCUAGAGUACGGCAGAGGGGGUGGAAUUCCACGUGUAGCAGUGAAAUGCGUAGAGAUGUGGAGGAACACCAAUGGCGAAGGCAGCCCCCUGGGUCGAUACUGACGCUCAUGCACGAAAGCGUGGGUAGCAAACAGGAUUAGAUACCCUGGUAGUCCACGCCCUAAACGAUGUCAACUAGGUGUUGGGAGGGUAAAACCUUUUAGUACCGGAGCUAACGCGUGAAGUUGACCGCCUGGGGAGUACGGCCGCAAGAAUG